UCAGGAUGAACGCUGGCGGCGUGCUUAACACAUGCAAGUCGAACGAUGAUCCGGUGCUUGCACCGGGGAUUAGUGGCGAACGGGUGAGUAACACGUGAGUAACCUGCCCUUGACUNUGGGAUAAGCCUGGGAAACUGGGUCUAAUACCGGAUAUGACUCCUCAUCGCAUGGUGGGGGGUGGAAAGCUUUUGCGGUUUUGGAUGGACUCGCGGCCUAUCAGCUUGUUGGUGAGGUAAUGGCUCACCAAGGCGACGACGGGUAGCCGGCCUGAGAGGGUGACCGGCCACACUGGGACUGAGACACGGCCCAGACUCCUACGGGAGGCAGCAGUGGGGAAUAUUGCACAAUGGGCGGAAGCCUGAUGCAGCGACGCCGCGUGAGGGAUGACGGCCUUCGGGUUGUAAACCUCUUUCAGUAGGGNANAAGCGAAAGUGACGGUACCUGCAG
RNAcentral lists this ribosomal RNA (447 nucleotides) under soil bacterium 07G-02. RNAcentral's name for it is "bacterial SSU rRNA". It matches the Rfam family "Bacterial small subunit ribosomal RNA", at positions 24 to 484 of the family's 1533-position model. The record is from RNAcentral.